Parus major (Great Tit) is the source of this 664-nucleotide long non-coding RNA. RefSeq lists it as uncharacterized. NCBI's taxonomy places the organism in Eukaryota, Metazoa, Chordata, Aves, Passeriformes, Paridae. The transcript is spliced from 2 exons. The record is from RefSeq and is a predicted model, not a curated record.
UCACAAUUUACAAUUUAUUCCCUUCUUAAUUUGCAAUUUAUUUGCCUCUUAAUUUGACUUUUUUCCCUCUCAAUCUGCAAUUUAUUCCCUUCUCAGUUUGCACUUUUCCCUCUCUCAGUUUGCACUUUUUUCCCCCCUCAAAUUGUAAUUUAUUCCUUUCUCCAUUUGCACUUUUCUCCCUCAAACUUUCCCUUUUUUCCUUUAAAUUCUGUAUUUUUAUCCCAUUUUUCCCCUCACUUUUAUCCCAUUUUCCCGUUGAAAAAUCCACAUUUUCCUCCCCAGUUCUGUACCAAAAAUCCCCCAUUUUUAUCCCAUUUUCCCUUUCCAAAACCCCAAAUUUCAAUCCCCAAUUCCCCAUUUCUCCCUUUUCUGCUCAUUUCCCCGUUUUUACCCCAUUUUUUACCAUUUUCACCCCAUUUUUCCCCACCCAGGGGCCGCAAAUUGACUCCUCAGGGGCAGCGGGACCUGGAUCGCAUCGCUGGGCAGGUCGCCGCCGCCAGCAAGAAACACUGAGGGAACCAAAAAUAAACCAAAAUAAAAUGAGUGUUUUUGUCCAAAAUCGGGGAAAACAGCCCCAAAAUCAACCUGAGCGGGGAAUGCUGGCAGGGUGGGAAACCCCCCAAAAAGGGAGGAAAAAUUUCAAUUAAUUAAAAAUCCUAAAUUA